Molecule: long non-coding RNA, 217 nt
Filed under: Columba livia (rock pigeon)
Lineage: Eukaryota; Metazoa; Chordata; Aves; Columbiformes; Columbidae
Description: partial uncharacterized LOC106146015
Source: RNAcentral
GCCGCCGCCAUGGCCGAGGGCAGGAGCGCCGGGCUCUUCGCCAGGCAGGUCCAGAAGCGCUUCAGCCGGGCGCAGGAGAAGGUUCUGCAGAAAUUGGGCAAAACGGUGGAAACCAAAGACGAGCAGUUUGAGCAAAGCGCCUACAACUUCCAGCUGCAGCAGAACGAAGGCAACAAGCUCUACAAGGACCUCAAGGCGUUCGUGGGGGCGGUGAAAG